GAUGAACGCUGGCGGCGUGCCUAAUACAUGCAAGUCGAGCGAACAGACGAGGAGCUUGCUCCUCUGACGUUAGCGGCGGACGGGUGAGUAACACGUGGAUAACCUACCUAUAAGACUGGGAUAACUUCGGGAAACCGGAGCUAAUACCGGAUAAUAUAUUGAACCGCAUGGUUCAAUAGUGAAAGACGGUUUUGCUGUCACUUAUAGAUGGAUCCGCGCCGCAUUAGCUAGUUGGUGAGGUAACGGCUUACCAAGGCAACGAUGCGUAGCCGACCUGAGAGGGUGAUAGGCCACACUGGAACUGAGACACGGUCCAGACUCCUACGGGAGGCAGCAGUAGGGAAUCUUCCGCAAUGGGCGAAAGCCUGACGGAGCAACGCCGCGUGAGUGAUGAAGGUCUUCGGAUCGUAAAACUCUGUUAUUAGGGAAGAACAAAUGUGUAAGUAACUAUGCACGUCUUGACGGUACCUAAUCAGAAAGCCACGGCUAACUACGUG
Molecule: ribosomal RNA, 497 nt
Filed under: uncultured bacterium
Lineage: Bacteria
Description: partial 16S ribosomal RNA
Rfam family: Bacterial small subunit ribosomal RNA
Source: RNAcentral